Molecule: long non-coding RNA, 2343 nt
Organism: Heterocephalus glaber (naked mole-rat)
Lineage: Eukaryota; Metazoa; Chordata; Mammalia; Rodentia; Bathyergidae
Source: Ensembl
CUGGGAUCUAGUUAGGUUUCUUCAGAGAAUACUAGACUCAACGGCAGUCAAGGAAUUAUAGGUCAGUUCAAGUUUUGGUAAACAAAGGCUGACUUACAUGACUAUUUUCACCAAGCCGCAAAAGCCAUCCAGUGUUAUUUCUGCCACUUCUAUUAGCUACAAGGGUGUCUUGAACCCACCUAGAUUCAAGGAAGGGCAUUGUGGACCUCACCUCUUGAUGAAAGGAGUUUCAUUAUCCCAUUGUGGAGGAGCAAGGCAGGUGGCCUGGAUGAAGAAAGAAGGGAGGCCUACUGCUCCUGCUGAUGCUUGCUGCCUUCUGCCUGCCCUGACAAGCCAUGGAUUGUUUUUCCUCUGUGAUGCCUCUUUGCCAUGCUGCCCUGCAGUGGAGCCAGUCUACUAUGGAAUAAAACCUCUAAAAACUAUAUGUGUCUUGGGGGCAAAAGCUGACCAAGUCCUACAGGUAACUGUGAAGAUCUGAGGAAUUCCUCAUUUCCAUUCAUUGCCUGCUUAGAGAACUCAAUAUCCUGGACCUCCUCACCCCAACUAAAGAUCAUAAAUCCAAUGAGAAAACCUUCAGAGAAGGGGAUAAAACAAUCAGUGUAGAGCUGCAUCUACCUAAAUGAUGGCUAAUAGAUCACACUUAGACUCUGAUUAGAAGAUACCUUAUAUGUGCUGACAGAAGUUGCCACAUAUUCUAAAGUGUCAUGGCUCAGAUCUAUAACGUACCUCAGAAGGUUCAUGUGUUCAGAAGUGAGGCUUUGGAAAGGCAAUUUGAUCACAAGAGUGUUGAAGGGACCUUUAGGAGGUGAAGCCUGGUUGGAGAAGAUGCAGCCUGAUGUGUCUUUUUUGAGGCAACUUUUUGCUCACCCAGUGGUCUUGAAUUCUCCGCAAUCCACUGAACAGCCUUUACUCUGCUGUUCACCAGUACACCAAUUCCUGAGUUCAGAGUGGUGGCCUUCUGGAUCCCUGAGCUGACCCGUUGUCUUGGUGGGGUUCUGGCUGGGGCCUGUACACACUUGGUAUGGUAUCUAGGUGUGCCUCUUGCUGGGGCCCCUAUGUAGCUGUUUGGGGGCUGUUUACCCCAGUUCCUUCGGUCUGCACAGGAUUUGGCUAUGGUUUCCAUGCACUUAUCAGUGGUACCAGGGAAGCCUCUGGGUAUUGCCUGUGUGUCUGUACAGCUCUUCUCUAGGUGGGUCCCUGGCCAUCGCCAAUGUUAGGGUGGGCCUCUUGCAUAAGCCUGCAAACCCCUGCAGCUCCUUUCUAGGCAGAACCCCAGCCUGUAUGGGUGUGCUGAAGCCUCUGGUGGUGGAGCAGACCCUGACUGGGAUCUGUCUGCAGCCACACUGGUCUGGGACAUACAGCUGCUCCCUGGGGUCUGCAUACACACACUGAUGGGAUGGUGGGCCUCUGGCAGAAGCCCAAGAGCUGGCACAGCUCCUUUCCAGAUGGACCCUGGCCUGGGCGGCUGUGCAGGAGCUUCUGUGGUCAGGGCAGACCCCUGACUGGGAUCUACCUACAGCCUUGCUGAUCUGGGCCACACAGCUCUCUUUGAUUAUUUUUUGAGAUAUAAUUUCACUAAGCCAUUAAAUUGCCCGGCCUAGGUUCCAACCUGUAAACUUUCUGCUUCAGCUUUCCAAAGUGCUGGGAUUAUGGCUGUGUGGCACCAUGCCUACACUUAAUUUUUAUACUAUAAAAAUCUUAAAUUGUUGUAUUUUAAUAAAUAUCCUCAAUUCAAAACAUUUUUCUGGAUUUCAAAUAUAUCUAUGGAUAAUGCUUCUUUGGAACAAUUAAUUAAACUUAAAGACAGUUACAUGUUUUUGGAUAACAAAUGGCAAGAUGAUAGGGAUUCACCCUCAUUCAUUUUUCCCACAUCAUAAGCUGUUUGAAGGGUUAAAAUCUUUUGUUCCUACCCUACUGUAUGAUUAUGUGUAUGUGCUCAAGGAAGUGGUCUUUGCACCACCUACCUUCCUCUUCCCUCAAACUCACAGUCAGAGUGCCUUGGUUCACUAACUUAAUUCUUUCCACAAUUCUCAUUGCCAACUGAAUUGGGUGAGAACCAAAUCAAAUUUUGCCAUAAGGUCAAACAAAUGAAAUUUCCCCAUAAGAUCAACCAUUGAAUUUGAUUCGGUUCUCGUCCAAUUCAGUUUGCAACCAGAAUCAUGGAAAGAAUUAAAUUCAUGAACAGAGGCACCACCGUAUUUUCCUUGUAUGGAAAAUAUAUUUUUCCUCUCAUUCUGGCACCCUUUAAUAAUUGUAGGAUUUUUUUUAUUGGUACUGUCUGAAAUUAUCCAGUUUUUGUCUGUUGCUCCCAAAAGAUUUUAAGUCCUAUAAGGAAGAUUCUAU